Long non-coding RNA from Oxyura jamaicensis (ruddy duck), 2343 nucleotides. RefSeq lists it as uncharacterized. Lineage: Eukaryota; Metazoa; Chordata; Aves; Anseriformes; Anatidae. The record is from RefSeq and is a predicted model, not a curated record. The transcript is spliced from 2 exons.
GCUGAGGAAGAGGAGAAAGAUCCUGGCUCCACAGAGGACCUGAUGCAGCCUGGUUUCAUUUGGGAAUUGGAUGUGGCUGUUAAAUUUCUCCUACGUAAAACAUCAGUGACAAUUUGCUUGCAUUUUUUCCAAAUAGAUUUUUCACUCAGAAAUACAGUUGGAUUUGGAAAAGUAAAACUCAGAAAAAGACCGGCUAUAGAUAUUUACCAUGUUAUUUCAUGCUCCAAAACUUUCAAGUUUAAUAAAUUAUAAUCUUAGAAAAAUCAGCGUAGACUGGGGAGAGGUCACGUUAGGCCCCAUGCAGAGUUUGCUGUUCAAAUGUGCUAGUCUUUUCAGUGCUGUAAGGUGAAGGAAAUCCAUUCACGUGUGCCAAGACAGCAGCAAGACUCCCUAGAAAGAGGGAAAGCAAGCAUGCUUGUGGAUUGACUAGUGUGAGGAGAUCCUCCUAUGCACUUGUCAAAGGUUUCUUCAGGUAUGUUAAUGGAUUGAGUGGGAGAUAUAUUACCUUUAUUAUGAUGAGGUUAUUCUGCAGGAAGUUCUGCCUUCUUCCUGGACCAUCAGUAGCAAGGCUGCAUAGAAUGCCGUAGCCUGUCUUCAGCAUUUUCCAUUUCUGCCUCACGCCUGCUGGGACCUCUGCUUUGAGAAGUGUGAGGAGCAAGGCUCAAUGUAUCUGACCACACGUGUAUUUUCUCCUGUUGAGAAGCAGCUGGCAGUGAAGAUCUAUUUGCUUUCUCUCUAGACUCAUCACAUUUUUCAAGGCUGGAGGAAAAAUGUUACUUUUGGCAGUCCUGCCUGUGAUGUUUGACAGCAGAGGUGCUGAAUGGGGGUUGUCUGAUACUUACUCACUUUCUAAUCAACUUUUGAAGUCACUAGACAAAGCACAGUUCUAAUAAAGUGUACCAAAAAAAAAAAAAAACUGCCCAGUUUUUGUUCUAGUUCGUUAUACUUACAGCUUACAUACUUGAAAAUUACUGAUCUGCAAGGCAAAAAAGUUCUGGUCGUACCCCAUCCUCAUCUAAAACUAAAGCAUACCUAUACAUUGUAGUUUACAUAAAAUAUCAGUAUUGUUUAGCUGUUCCACACAAAGCUUCCCUGCGGGUUUUGGAGCUAAGGUUAGCUUUCCCUUUUUUAGUUUAAUGCUAAACCUGACUCUUCUACAGCUGCUGAGCUCACUGGCAUUUCUUUUCACCAAUUAAAUCUGACUGCUUCAGUGUGGAAGGACCAAACACGAGAACCCACUGGCAGACACAGCAGCAGUUUCAUUCAUGGCAUAUAAGCCCAGAGGGCAAGUGUCAGGAAGCCAGCAAUCCGUUAAAUGCAUUAUCUGUGUUAUGCAAAAAAUAUUUCUUACUAGUUCUCUUUUUUCAUGUUUUGGUUUAAAAGCCUAUUAUUUUGUGAAAUGUAAUUUGGCUUGCUACAUGGAAAUGUAUUAGUUGAGUAGAUAGAUUCUUCUGUCUUGUCUUGGAUAGUUAAAAGGGUUGUUAGUCCAUUUUCUUCAGGGCAAAUACGGAUCACCAUAAAGGUCAGAAAGCAAUCGCCUUCCAUGGUGAAGCAAUACUUGCUGUAAUAGUUGGUGUAAUCGCAGUGAUUAAUUUUCAAGUAUUUCAUAUUGUGGUAGCCAAGGCUUCUGAUUCGGUAGGUUUCUGCACCAUCUGUGUCAGACUGUCUUUACAGAAGAUAGUGAGUUGUACGUAAAGGUUUGCCUACAAAGCCUUCAGUAUUAGUCACAACCAGAAUUAAGUUACCAAUCUAAAUGGGCCAUUGAUCAAACUCAGUGCAACACUCCUGCUUCCGUAACCAAGAGCUGCAAUUAAAUAAAUGGCCUCAUCUUCCCUGAAGCCUUCCUUAUUACACUGAGUGUUCUACUUGCCCAAGGUGUUUCAAGGUGCGGUCACUGCACUUUAUGCCUGUAUAUGUCACUCUUUAUGGUACUAGUUACUGGAAAUACAGGCACCAUGCCUUUCAAUAAGGACUCAACUCAGGAAGCAGCCUGCCAAAUGUGAGCAUCUGUAUGCUGAAUGGAUCACUUUCAGCCUUUAUACUGUCGCUUCCACCAGUGGAAAGUGGCUGUGAAGUAUUGUAAAGGCUUCCUGAACAGGAAAGGUCUUGGGUCUUUAUCUGUGCCAAUGAGGGAUGAGAUCAUGCGUGCUGAGCCACUGCUUUAUCUUUUAAUAUCUUACGGUUCUGCUCUUUAGUAUGAUUGUAUUCUUAGCAGCUCUUCAUAUCAAAGGUAUUUUUUGCAGUUUAGUCAUAACAUUUUUUCUGUAAUGCUUGUAUAAAUAUUUGACUGCUUAUGUAUCUAUCUGUUGAAGAUGUGCCUCAAGUCUUAUGCUUGGGUCCGAC